UGCACAAGGCUGUUCAGGGCCUUUUGGUGGGCAUUUCCCUUCAGCUUGGGUGGCUCCUCGGAGUCACCUAAUAAAGUUCCGAAUACAAAUCCCCACAAAAGGAUGAUUCCUGGUCAUUUGUUAUUGCUGCUCAAUGUCUCAUUGGGGCUGGGAUAACCAGACCCACAAGCCACCGUCCCAAACUCCCGAGGGCUGGGAAGGUGGCCACUGCUGCCUGCAGGGUCUACCGCAGGUGGGCUCGCUGGUGUGAAAGGACAGACACCACGGCAGCUUGGCACCCAAUGUGGGGCCUGAGGGCAUCGCCAGACCCCACGGAGAUGUUGGGACUUUUCUGUGGAGUUUUCUUAAUUGGACCCAAACCGUCUCUGGAUGUUAAGCUACCCCCAGUGGGAGCAGACUCACUUUUCUGAGUGGCAUUCCUGGGGGACAGGAGAGGCAGCCUCAGCCCUGCACCUCAGAGGUCUCUCCCCAAUGAAAGCUGCUACCCCUGAGAUUUUAAGUUUCCCUCCGAACAUCUGGUUCCGACCAUCAACUACGCACUCGACCUAACAACCAAUAUGUUGAUUGCUGCAGGGUUUGAGCUCCAGACAGAAAAGAUUCAACAGAUGCCACCCUGGAAGUACCUGGGCCUUGAAGUUACGAAGAGGACCACUGUUCCUCAGAAAUUGGAGAUCAAAACUUGUGUCCGGACUUUGGUGGAUCUGCAACAACUGUGUGGGUCACUGAACUGGGUUAAUCAACCUAGUCUCCCACUGAGAGCAACCAUUUUACGGGAUGCAUGUCAGGUCACACACAGACCUGCCGGGGUUCAUCACAGAGGGCAAUCGAAGAGCUGCUCCAGCCCAGAUGGCCCCACUCCAUGAUAUGUUUGAACAGGUGAGAAUCAGCCAUCAGAAAUUCCAUCGGAAUGUGCCCGGCCUUGUGAACCUGUGAACAGGCUCGGGCCAUUGAGGUGACAUGUCCCCAGUGUCAGCAACAUCAGAUGCCCGCCCUGAGCACUGGAGCCAACCCCAAAAGUCUCCACAUCUGUGAGGUGUGGCAGAUGGGCGUCACCAAGGUACCAUCCUUUGGCAGACUGAAGGACAUCCCUGUCUCAGUAGACACUUUCUCUGGCACAGUCUACACCUUGGCCCGUGCAGGGGAGAGGGCUAUGGAUGGGAAGAAACACCUCAUCCAGGCCUUCUCCACAUUGGAGGUCCCCAAAGUCAUCAAAAUGGACAACGUCCCAGCGUACGGCUCCAGGGAGCUCUGGAGCUUCCCGCAGCAAUGGGGAGUGGAACACAAAACUGGCAUCCCCCACUCCCCGACAGACCAAGCCGUAGUUGAGAGGACCCACCAGAGUCUAAAAAAGAUUCUGCUUCAUCAAUGCAGAUGAAGGUGGAAUCCCCUCAUAUCCAACUUGCCCAGGCAUUGUUUACCUUGAACUUUUUGAACUGUGCCUUUGACAGCCUGAACCCUCCAAUAAUAACGCACUUCAGGGGCAAUCCGCAGCUGGAGGUGAAAGAGAGGCCCCCGGUCCUUGUCAAGGACCCUGAGACCUGGAAGGUACAAGGACCAUUUGAGCUCGUCACCUAGGGGCGGGGGUACGCCUGUUUGGCUACCCCCUCAGGGUUAAAAUGGGUCCCAUCGAAGUGGGUAAGACCCUAUAUUCCAAAGAUCAAUCAAGAAAAGACUGUCUGGCAGGUGUGGGACGUCUGUUGGAGGAGAAAGAGAUGCAGAACCAACUCCAUUUAAGUUACCCUUAGUAAUCCUUUUUCUGUUUUUGUUUUCAGCCCAGACCUGAGAACCCCACACAACAUCAUGAUUCCUCUUCUACUCAUCAUCACGCAAUGUGUCACUGUCCCCAACGGCUCCUGGAUUGUCCCCCAGCCAAAGACUAAUGUGUGGAGAGUGUUAGCACAGGCUCUCGGACAGGACAACAUCUGCCUGUCCCUAGAUUCAGCUGCCAACCUGGCGUCCACCUGCCUUGUGGGGAUCCCUUUUAAAUCAAAUGAAUUUCCCCCUUCGUUAGCCCCUGCUUCUUUUUUCCCUGCCUAUGACCCCUUGGUUCCUUGGGACCAAUUUGUCAAAAGAUUACCAGAGAUCAAAGACGAACUCCACGAAUUUGAGUUGCUUGGCUCAACCAAAGCCCCAUGUUGUGUUCAUUUUAUGGUUAAACCAAACAACCCCAGAAUCAGGCAUACAGAAAUCAAACAAUUUAAGAGCCAAUAUAUGGCCAAAAAUUGGUGUGAAAAAAUCGCCCAUAUCCAUGACACACUUGCCAUUACUAUGAAACCCCGUUCAGUUCCCUGUGGUAACUUUUUUGUUUUUGGCGACCAAGCUUUUGCAGGCAUCCCCUCUCACCUUGCUGAAGGCCCUUGCACCACUGGUUGGGCAUGUUUUCCCGUAAUAUGACUAAAGUUUUGGAUUGGUGCCGUAAAAAUUCUACUCAAUUGGACUGCUAAAAGAGAGACCUAGAGCUUACUAAUUGGGAUUUAAAUUGCGACUCUAAGUUAUUCAUUGUUCUAAGCCAAAAGGGGUUGCGGUCAUCACGCUAUUGUCAUGGGUCGCGAUCGUUCAAACAUUCGGGGAAUUGGCUACCCUCGAAUGUUGGGUGGCAAAACAUGCCAAUCUUACAUCAACUGCCCUCAGUGGACUCCUGCAGGAUGAGGAAAUAACAAGGCAGGCAACCCUACAGAACCGGGAAGUGAUCGAUUUCCUCCUUUUGCUGCACAACCACAAGUGUGAGGAAUUUGAGGGUCUGUGCUGCAUGAACCUAACAUCAAAGGCUGGGGACGUCCAGAAAGUGAUUGAUCAGAUGCAGGAUAUGAUCAAAGACAUAAAGCGAGAGACUGGGGACUGGCUGGAAAAUAUCUUCACCAGCUGGGGACUCUCAGGCUGGGUCACCUCUGUCAUAAGAACUGGAUUGUUGAUUUUAUUUGUUUUUAUUUUAGUUUUGAUUGCUUUUAGCAUUUUGAGACAGAUAGUGUCGAACCUCAUUUCCAGGGCCCUCAACAUUCCUAGCGUGAACCAGGCAGCAGUUCUGUUGGUCCAAGAGUCAACAGAAGAAGAAGAGAACUACACAGAGCUAGAACCCAAGAGUGGACCUUGGAAAGAAACUGCUCCCACCUGUCAGCCCUGGUUCGCAGACACCUAUCGAGACCUCAGAGUUCCUUCCCCGAGUGGAAUUUAAUUAGUUUUAAAGGACUUUAUUUUCUUCAAUUGUUUUGUUUAAAAUAAAAAAGGGUUGUGUUUUAAA
This is a non-coding RNA of Taeniopygia guttata (zebra finch), 3238 nucleotides long. The record is from RefSeq and is a predicted model, not a curated record. Lineage: Eukaryota; Metazoa; Chordata; Aves; Passeriformes; Estrildidae.